Molecule: ribosomal RNA, 886 nt
Filed under: uncultured bacterium
Lineage: Bacteria
Description: bacterial SSU rRNA
Rfam family: Bacterial small subunit ribosomal RNA
Source: RNAcentral
UCGAACGCGUCUCCGUUGAUGAUUUUAGGUGCUUGCACUUGAAAGAUUUCCAUUGAGACGAGUGGCGAACUGGUGAGUAACACGUGGGUAACCCGCCCUUGAAGUAGGGGAUAACACUUGGAAACAGGUGCUAAUACCGUAUAACAACCAAAACCACCUGGUUUUGGUUUAAAAGACGGCUUCGGCUGUCACUUUAGGAUGGACCCGCGGCGCAUUAGCUUGUUGGUAAGGUAACGGCUUACCAAGGCGAUGAUACGUAGCCGACCUGAGAGGGUAAUCGGCCACAUUGGGACUGAGACACGGCCCAAACUCCUACGGGAGGCAGCAGUAGGGAAUCUUCCACAAUGGGCGAAAGUCUGAUGGAGCAACGCCGCGUGAGUGAUGAAGGGUUUCGGCUCGUAAAACUCUGUUGUUGGAGAAGAACAGGUGUCAGAGUAACUGUUGACAUCUUGACGGUAUCCAACCAGAAAGCCACGGCUAACUACGUGCCAGCAGCCGCGGUAAUACGUAGGUGGCAAGCGUUGUCCGGAUUUAUUGGGCGUAAAGCGAGCGCAGGCGGUUUUUUAGGUCUGAUGUGAAAGCCUUCGGCUUAACCGGAGAAGUGCAUCGGAAACCGGGAGACUUGAGUGCAGAAGAGGACAGUGGAACUCCAUGUGUAGCGGUGAAAUGCGUAGAUAUAUGGAAGAACACCAGUGGCGAAGGCGGCUGUCUGGUCUGUAACUGACGCUGAGGCUCGAAAGCAUGGGUAGCGAACAGGAUUAGAUACCCUGGUAGUCCAUGCCGUAAACGAUGAGUGCUAAGUGUUGGAGGGUUUCCGCCCUUCAGUGCUGCAGCUAACGCAUUAAGCACUCCGCCUGGGGAGUACGACCGCAAGGUUGAAACUCAA